CCUACGGGAGGCAGCAGUGGGGGAUAUUGCACAAUGGGGGGAACCCUGAUGCAGCGACGCCGCGUGAGCGAUGGAGUACUUCGGUAUGUAAAGCUCUGUCAGCAGGGAAGAAAAUGACGGUACCUGACCAAUAAGCCCCGGCUAACUACGUGCCAGCAGCCGCGGUAAUACGUAGGGGGCAAGCGUUAUCCGGAUGUACUGGGUGUAACGGGGGCGCAGACGGCAAUGCAAGCCAGGAGGGAAAGCCCGGGGCCCAACCCCGGGACUGCUGUUGGAACUGCAUGGAUGGAGUACAGGAGGGGCAGGCGGAAUUCCUGGUGUAGCGGUGAAAUGCGUAGAUAUUAGGAGGAACACCGGUGGCGAAGGCGGCCUGCUGGACUGUGACUGACGUUGAGGCACGAAGGCGUGGGGAGCAAACAGGAUUAGAUACCCUUGUAGUC
Molecule: ribosomal RNA, 440 nt
Filed under: uncultured bacterium
Lineage: Bacteria
Description: partial 16S ribosomal RNA
Rfam family: Bacterial small subunit ribosomal RNA
Source: RNAcentral